Molecule: transfer-messenger RNA, 340 nt
Filed under: human gut metagenome
Rfam family: transfer-messenger RNA
About the family: Bacterial tmRNA, also known as 10Sa RNA or SsrA, is named for its dual tRNA and mRNA-like properties. Its role is to liberate the mRNA from a stalled ribosome.
Source: RNAcentral
GUACUGGUUUCGACGGGGAUGUUGAAUUUGGAGCAGCCAUUCGUGGACUAGGACCACGUUAAAACUUAGAAAUUAAAUUUAAACGCUGAAGACAAUUUAGCUUUAGCUGCCUAGUUGCAGCUUGUCGUGCCUGGGCGUCCCGCCACUCAGGGUCACGGCAUCAAACCGGUGGGGAACUCUUGUGGUUAAGCUUUGCGCCACAAGAAGCACGAUGAAGCUACUAAGAACAGAAGCUUGUCAAUAGGCGUCUGUUUGAGGGAAUGUUAAAGUAUUGACUGUAAUGGGAGAUACUCUGAUGGAUGUGUUUUCGGACAUGGGUUCGAUUCCCAUCUGGUCCACU